ACAUCCAGAGAACUUAGCAGAGAUGCUUUGGUGCCUUCGGGGAACUCUGAGACAGGUGCUGCAUGGCUGUCGUCAGCUCGUGUUGUGAAAUGUUGGGUUAAGUCCCGNAACGAGCGCAACCCUUAUCCUUUGUUGCCAGCGGUUCGGCCGGGAACUCAAAGGAGACUGCCGGUGAUAAACCGGAGGAAGGUGGGGAUGACGUCAAGUCAUCAUGGCCCUUACGGCCAGGGCUACACACGUGCUACAAUGGCGCAUACAAAGAGAAGCGACCUCGCGAGAGCAAGCGGACCUCAUAAAGUGCGUCGUAGUCCGGAUUGGAGUCUGCAACUCGACUCCAUGAAGUCGGAAUCGCUAGUAAUCGUAGAUUCAGAAUGCUACGGUGAAUACGUUCCCGGGCCUUGUACACACCGCCCGUCACACCAUGGGAGUGGGUUGCAAAAGAAGUAGGUAGCUUAACCUUCGGGAGGGCGCUUACCACUUUGUGAUUCAUGACUGGGGUGAAGUCGUAACAAGGUAAGCGUAGCGAG
Molecule: ribosomal RNA, 527 nt
Filed under: uncultured bacterium
Lineage: Bacteria
Description: bacterial SSU rRNA
Rfam family: Bacterial small subunit ribosomal RNA
Source: RNAcentral